AGUCACUCCUCUGUGUUUCCAGACAAUCCCAGCCCAGGAGUACAGAAAAGCCAUCAAGACAAGACGAGACAGUUUCCCUGGUUCCCUUUCCUGAAGUCCAGCCCCACCCAAGUCCCAGCCUGCAGGGACCACCACCAACAUAAGCGUGUGUCCCAGGCAACCUGUGACUUUCCAAGUUGUGCAACCAACAAUUGUGAGACUCAGCUUCAUAGAUAAGGACAAGGAGGCAAUCUACUCCACUGGAACAGUAGCUGGAGUUGUAGGAUGCGUUGGAUCCUUCUGGGGCACCCUGUGAUGAGAAUGUGACUCACAGAGGUCAAGUGAAAGUCAAGUCACAUGGCUAUUAAACCACACAGCAGAAUUAAAUUCUGACCUGACUUCCUCUACGGCCACCCCUUAUCUGCCUCAACAGACAGCUCUAGUAAUAAAGUUCCUUUGGCCUGGGAUUAGUCCCUCUGUCCCCAUUUCCCAUUUUGGCUCUCAUACUUCUGCUUUCUUUUUUUUUUUUUUUUUUUUUUUUU
This is a long non-coding RNA of Cavia porcellus (domestic guinea pig), 521 nucleotides long. RefSeq lists it as uncharacterized. The record is from RefSeq and is a predicted model, not a curated record. NCBI's taxonomy places the organism in Eukaryota, Metazoa, Chordata, Mammalia, Rodentia, Caviidae. The transcript is spliced from 3 exons.